CCUACGGGAGGCAGCAGUGGGGAAUAUUGCACAAUGGGGGAAACCCUGAUGCAGCGACGCCGCGUGAGUGAAGAAGUAUCUCGGUACGUAAAGCUCUAUCAGCAGGGAAGAAAAUGACGGUACCUGACUAAGAAGCCCCGGCUAACUACGUGACAGCAGCCGCGGUAAUACGUAGGGGGCAAGCGUUAUCCGGAUUUACGUGGUGUAAAGGGAGCGUAGACGGCAGCACAAGUCUGGAGUGAAAUCCCGGGGCUUAACCCCGGAACUGCUUUGGAAACUGUGCGGCUGGAGUGCAGGAGGGGUAAGCGGAAUUCCUAGUGUAGCGGUGAAAUGCUGAGAGAUUAGGAGGAACACCGGUGGCGAAGGCGACUUACUGGACUGUAACUGACGUUGAGGCUCGAAAGCGUGGGGAGCAAACAGGAUUAGAUACCCUAGUAGUC
Molecule: ribosomal RNA, 440 nt
Filed under: uncultured bacterium
Lineage: Bacteria
Description: partial 16S ribosomal RNA
Rfam family: Bacterial small subunit ribosomal RNA
Source: RNAcentral